GGUCUGUGUUCACAAGAAGAAGGGGAGUACUUGUGGCACAUUAGAGGCUAACCAAUUUGUUUGAGCGUGGGCUUUCGUGAGCUACAGAUGAAUCCGAUGAAGUGAGCUGUAGCUCACGAAGGCUUGUGCUCGGAUGGAUUGGUUGGUCUCUGGGGUGCCACAAGUACUCCUUUUCUUUUUGCGAAUACAGACUAACACGGCUGUUACUCUGAAACC
Molecule: long non-coding RNA, 216 nt
Organism: Chelonia mydas (Green sea turtle)
Lineage: Eukaryota; Metazoa; Chordata; Testudines; Cheloniidae
Exons: 2
Source: RefSeq, a predicted model, not a curated record